Molecule: non-coding RNA, 226 nt
Organism: Pelobates cultripes (western spadefoot toad)
Lineage: Eukaryota; Metazoa; Chordata; Amphibia; Anura; Pelobatidae
Source: the annotation of a GenBank genome assembly
CUAAUUACAAUUUUUAAUAACAAUUGUACAUAUCGGCAAGAAGUACAGUAAAGUUUUGUAGGAGCUGUAAUUCAGCUAAGAGCUGAUACCUGACCUACAAGUCCCAAAAAUUGCUCUGAGCAGAACUGAGGCUGUGCACAGAGAGCUUUGAUUUCUGCUAAUCAGCCCAUACCCCCCUAUCAAUCUUGCAGUUAAUCAUCUCCAACAAUUCAGACCAAAAUGAGAG